UCCCUCUAGAUCGSUCUAMMUGCAGUCGAGCGAUGAGCUUCCUUCGGGAAGUGGAUUAGCGGCGGACGGGUGAGUAACACGUGGGUAACCUGCCUCARAGUGGGGGAUAGCCUUCCGAAWGGAAGAUUAAUACCGCAUAACAUAAGAGAAUCGCAUGAUUUUCUUAUCAAAGAUUUAUUGCUUUGAGAUGGACCCGCGGCGCAUUAGCUAGUUGGUAAGGUAACGGCUUACCAAGGCAACGAUGCGUAGCCGACCUGAGAGGGUGAUCGGCCACAUUGGAACUGAGACACGGUCCAGACUCCUACGGGAGGCAGCAGUGGGGAAUAUUGCGCAAUGGGGGAAACCCUGACGCAGCAACGCCGCGUGGGUGAUGAAUGUCUUCGGAUUGUAAAGCCCUGUUUUCUGGGACGAUAAUGACGGUACCAGAGGAGGAAGCCACGGYUAACUACGUGCCAGCAGCCGCGGUAAUACGUAGGUGGYGAGCGUUGUCCGGAUUUACUGGGCGUAAAGGGUGCGUAGGCGGAUGUUUAAGUGGGAUGUGAAAUCCCCGGGCUUAACCUGGGGGCUGCAUUCCAAACUGGAUAUCUAGAGUGCAGGAGAGGAAAGCGGAAUUCCUAGUGUAGCGGUGAAAUGCGUAGAGAUUAGGAAGAACACCAGUGGCGAAAGGCGGCUUUCUGGACUGUAACUGACGCUGAGGCACGAAAGCGUGGGUAGCAACAGGAUUAGAUACCCUGGUAGUCCACGCCGUAACGAUGGAUACUAGUGUAGGGGGUAUCAACUCCCCCUGUGCGCAGUUAACACAAUAAGUAUCCCGCCUGGGGGAGUACGGUCGCAGAUAAACUCAAGGAUUGGACGGGGACCCGCMMAAGCAGCGGARCAUGGKGUUAAUU
Molecule: ribosomal RNA, 890 nt
Filed under: Clostridium botulinum
Lineage: Bacteria; Bacillati; Bacillota; Clostridia; Eubacteriales; Clostridiaceae
Description: bacterial SSU rRNA
Rfam family: Bacterial small subunit ribosomal RNA
Source: RNAcentral